AAAGCAUUCUCUGGUGUUGAAGGCCCUGCAAAGCAGCAUCGCGGUGGCGGAGCGUCGUUUGCGACGCCCAACACACAAAACAAGCGGUGAGUGCUUUGGGGUGGGGUGACUGCGUACCUUUUGUAUAAUGGGUCAGCGACUUAUAUUCUGUAGCAAGGUUAACCGUAUAGGGGAGCCGAAGGGAAACCGAGUCUUAACUGGGCGUUAAGUUGCAGGGUAUAGACCCGAAACCCGGUGAUCUAGCCAUGGGCAGGUUGAAGGUUGGGUAACACUAACUGGAGGACCGAACCGACUAAUGUUGAAAAAUUAGCGGAUGACUUGUGGCUGGGGGUGAAAGGCCAAUCAAACCGGGAGAUAGCUGGUUCUCCCCGAAAGCUAUUUAGGUAGCGCCUCGUGAACUCAUCUUCGGGGGUAGAGCACUGUUUCGGCUAGGGGGUCAUCCCGACUUACCAACCCGAUGCAAACUGCGAAUACCGAAGAAUGUUAUCACGGGAGACACACGGCGGGUGCUAACGUCCGUCGUGAAGAGGGAAACAACCCAGACCGCCAGCUAAGGUCCCAAAGUCACAGUUAAGUGGGAAACGAUGUGGGAAGGCUCAGACAGCCAGGAUGUUGGCUUAGAAGCAGCCAUCAUUUAAAGAAAGCGUAAUAGCUCACUGGUCGAGUCGGCCUGCGCGGAAGAUGUAACGGGGCUAAACUGUGCACCGAAGCUGCGGCAGCGACGCUUAUGCGUUGUUGGGUAGGGGAGCGUUCUGUAAGCCUGCGAAGGUGUCCUGUGAGGGAUGCUGGAGGUAUCAGAAGUGCGAAUGCUGACAUAAGUAACGAUAAUGCGGGUGAAAAGCCCGCUCGCCGGAAGACCAAGGGUUCCUGUCCAACGUUAAUCGGGGCAGGGUGAGUCGACCCCUAAGGCGAGGCCGAAAGGCGUAGUCGAUGGGAAACGGGUUAAUAUUCCCGUACUUGGUGUUACUGCGAAGGGGGGACGGAGAAGGCUAUGUUGGCCGGGCGACGGUUGUCCCGGUUUAAGCGUGUAGGUGUGUGUUCCAGGUAAAUCCGGUUCACUUUAACACUGAGGCGUGAUGACGAGGCACUACGGUGCUGAAGCAACAAAUGCCCUGCUUCCAGGAAAAGCCUCUAAGCAUCAGGUAACAUCAAAUCGUACCCCAAACCGACACAGGUGGUCAGGUAGAGAAUACCAAGGCGCUUGAGAGAACUCGGGUGAAGGAACUAGGCAAAAUGGUGCCGUAACUUCGGGAGAAGGCACGCUGACACGUAGGUGAAGU
Molecule: ribosomal RNA, 1280 nt
Filed under: Salmonella enterica subsp. enterica serovar Kentucky
Lineage: Bacteria; Pseudomonadati; Pseudomonadota; Gammaproteobacteria; Enterobacterales; Enterobacteriaceae
Description: partial 23S ribosomal RNA
Rfam family: Bacterial large subunit ribosomal RNA
Source: RNAcentral